GGCCAGACUCCUACGGGAGGCAGCAGUGGGGAAUAUUGCACAAUGGGGGAAACCCUGAUGCAGCGACGCCGCGUGAGUGAAGAAGUAUCUCGGUACGUAAAGCUCUAUCAGCAGGGAAGAAAAUGACGGUACCUGACUAAGAAGCCCCGGCUAACUCCGUGCCAGCAGCCGCGGUAAUACGGAGGAUGCGAGCGUUAUCCGGAUUUAUUGGGUUUAAAGGGUGCGCAGGCGGAAUGUCAAGUCAGCGGUAAAAUUUCGGGGCUCAACCCCGUCGUGCCGUUGAAACUGGCGUUCUUGAGUGAGCGAGAAGUAUGCGGAAUGCGUGGUGUAGCGGUGAAAUGCAUAGAUAUCGCGCAGAACCCCGAUUGCGAAGGCAGCAUGCCGGCUCCACACUGACGCUGAGGCACGAAAGCGUGGGUAUCGAACAGGAUUAGAUACCCGCGUAGCG
This 448-nucleotide ribosomal RNA is filed under the name uncultured bacterium. RNAcentral describes it as "bacterial SSU rRNA". It matches the Rfam family "Bacterial small subunit ribosomal RNA", at positions 329 to 795 of the family's 1533-position model. The record is from RNAcentral.